This 355-nucleotide unclassified non-coding RNA is filed under the name soil metagenome. Its description in RNAcentral is "partial contains 5.8S ribosomal RNA, internal transcribed spacer 2, and large subunit ribosomal RNA". The stretch from base 1 to 120 matches the Rfam family "5.8S ribosomal RNA", at positions 35 to 154 of the family's 154-position model. The record is from RNAcentral.
GAUGAAGAACGCAGCGAAAUGCGAUAAGUAAUGUGAAUUGCAGAAUUCAGUGAAUCAUCGAAUCUUUGAACGCACAUUGCGCCCAUUAGUAUUCUAGUGGGCAUGCCUGUUCGAGCGUCAUUAAGUACACUUAAGCCUAGCUUAGUGUUGGGAGACUGCUCCAGUGGUGCUACCCUGUAGCUACCCUGCAGCUCCUUAAAGACAGCGGCGGAGUCGUGUUAUCCUCUGAGCUUAGUAAAUCAUUCUAGCUUUCGAGAGUAUCACUUCACCUGCCGUUAAACCACCUAAUUUUUAUGGUUGACCUCGGAUCAGGUAGGAAUACCCGCUGAACUUAAGCAUAUCAAUAAGCGGAGGA